AGUCAACUCGAGACCAUGGUAGGUCAGCUUAUUUGCUGAUGAGCUGACUCAAUUGUGCAGACUAGGUCUACAAGUUUCUAUUUAUCUCAGUAUUGUACUGACUCACUGUGACAAGUCAAUUCAUGUAUUAGGGUGAGUCGACUCGAUUAUACAGACAACAAAAUUAUAUGAGAUACAAUAUAAAUUAUUUAGAUCAAAAAUUAUUUUGAGAUCUAAACUUAAACCCAUGUACAUAAUGCACUUAAUUGAGAAUUAAGAUUCAAAAUUAUAAGAUCAAAAAUAGUGAAGUUAAGAUCUAAAUUUCAAUAUAUAAAAUACG
RNAcentral lists this long non-coding RNA (319 nucleotides) under Elaeis guineensis (African oil palm). RNAcentral describes it as "long non-coding RNA (EGUI_LNC066897)". Lineage: Eukaryota; Viridiplantae; Streptophyta; Magnoliopsida; Arecales; Arecaceae. The record is from RNAcentral.